GUUUAAGUAGUUUAAAAUAAAAAUUUCGAUUUGUGGUGUCGAAGAUGUAUGUUAAUACCUUUAACC
This 66-nucleotide transfer RNA is filed under the name Epiophlebia superstes. Its description in RNAcentral is "tRNA-His". Lineage: Eukaryota; Metazoa; Arthropoda; Insecta; Odonata; Epiophlebiidae. The record is from RNAcentral.